Molecule: ribosomal RNA, 458 nt
Filed under: uncultured bacterium
Lineage: Bacteria
Description: partial 16S ribosomal RNA
Rfam family: Bacterial small subunit ribosomal RNA
Source: RNAcentral
CCUACGGGAGGCAGCAGUGAGGAAUAUUGGUCAAUGGGCGAGAGCCUGAACCAGCCAAGUCGCGUGAGGGAGUACUGCCCUAUGGGUUGUAAACCUCUUUUGUCGGGGAGCAAAAGCCGGACGUGUCCGGCUGUGAGAGUACCCGAAGAAAAAGCAUCGGCUAACUCCGUGCCAGCAGCCGCGGUAAUACGGAGGAUGUGAGCGUUAUCCGGAUUUAUUGGGUUUAAAGGGUGCGCAGGCGGAUUUUUAAGUCAGCGGUCAAAUCGUGGGGCUCAACCCCAUCCAGCCGCUGAUACUGUAGGACUAGAGAUCGGAUGCAGCAGGCGGAAUGUGUAGUGUAGCGGUGAAAUGCAUAGAUAUUACACAGAACACCGAUUGCGAAGGCAGCUUGCUAGGCCGGAUCUGACACUGAUGCACGAAAGCGUGGGGAUCGAACAGGAUUAGAUACCCUUGUAGUC